UCAAUUCUAGUAGCAUAAUUUUUUCUUCCAAAUGAAUAUUAUUAUAACACAACCAAUAUUUCUUCUCUCCAUGAGAUUUACUUCCAUAUAUGUUUGUUAUUCUUAUAAGUUGUGUACUCCUAGUUUGAACUUUAAUCCAGUUUCCAGUUUCCACCAGGUAUCUGUUACUAUAGGCAUUGGGACCUGCUAUAUUAAGGUGGAUGACAAUGUUGUACUUUCUUUUGGGAUCUGGUGUCUCACGAGAUGGACUGGUGCUGCUGAUGGGAGAAAGAUAUGCUUUACAUCAGCGACAUCAAAAUACAGCCAUUUCAGAUGAUAUGCAUGCUUUCCCAGCAAGCUUUGGCUUUAAAGGAGAGGCUCCGAGCUCUAUUUCUGAUGUUUAUUUGUUGGAAUUGAUACCAAAACUCAUGAGAGGCCAAAUGGAUAUCGUAAGGUUUUGAAGGACGGCAAGUGUUUUUGUACCUUGGAAUUGAUGAGUGUAGACAAGAUGAUUGUACAACAUUGAAGAUGACCUGCUUUGCACACGUGCUUCUCCCUCUCCUUGCUGCUGUUGUCCAGUGGGUUUGGGAUUCAUCUGAGUUCCCUUAACAAAAGCGUUGGUGCAUUCAAGCUUUUAGGAUAUAUCUCUGGUCCUGAUGUUUACACAGUGAAGACAAUUUGAAGGUUUUCAUCCAUCGAUGUUCAAUCAAACAUGUUACCUGUUGAGCUAAAGAACUGUUGAUUGGCACGGUGAUUCAGGAGCUUUUCUAUGCACAGAAGCCUGAUUUAUGAUGGAUCAUCUUUUGAUAGUGAUGAAGAUAUUAAGUUUGAAAAAAGUAACUGCAGAAAUAAACAAAAUGGCCUUGAAGAUGAUUAGAGUGUUGAAUUUGAAGUAGCAGCAACCAUGUCUUAAAUCAUAGGUCUCCUAGAGGCAUGGAAAUGGAAAUAUAUUUUGAGAAACUUCUCCAGGUGUAAAACUCAGAGCA
Molecule: RNA transcript, 965 nt
Organism: Solanum stenotomum
Lineage: Eukaryota; Viridiplantae; Streptophyta; Magnoliopsida; Solanales; Solanaceae
Gene name: DNA mismatch repair protein MLH3-like
Exons: 7
Source: RefSeq, a predicted model, not a curated record